This 2860-nucleotide ribosomal RNA is filed under the name Bacteroidota bacterium. RNAcentral describes it as "bacterial LSU rRNA". It matches the Rfam family "Bacterial large subunit ribosomal RNA". Lineage: Bacteria; Pseudomonadati; Bacteroidota. The record is from RNAcentral.
GUGAUGAAGCUACUAAGAGUGUGCGGCGGAUGACUUGGCGUCAAGAGGCGAUGAAAGACGUGGGAGCCUGCGAUAAGCCCAGGGGAGUUGGCAACCAAGCGUUGAUCCUGGGAUUUCUGAAUGGGGAAACCCGGCCCAUAUGGGUCAUCCAUGCCUGAAUGCAUAGGGUAUGGAGGCGAACGUGGUGAACUGAAACAUCUAAGUAACCACAGGAAAAGAAAGAAACCUCGAUUCCGUCAGUAGCGGCGAGCGAAAUCGGAACAGCCCAAACCGUCCUUCGGGGCGGGGUUGCGGGCGCCGACAUGGCAUCUCGGCGAGCAUCGUGAGCGGUCUGGAAAGGCCGGCCAAAGAGGGUGACAGCCCCGUAGCGGUGAGCAAUGAGAGCCUAGGCGUACCAGAGUAGCACGGGACUCGUGAAACCCCGUGUGAAGCUGGAGGGUCCACCCUCCAAGGCUAAAUACUCCUUGACGACCGAUAGCGAACCAGUAGGGCGAUUGAAUGUUGAAAAGUUCCCCGACAAGGGGAGUGAAAAGGACCUGAAACCGCACACUUACAAGCGGUCGGAGCCGUCUUCGGACGGUGACGGCGUGCCUUUUGCAUAAUGAGCCGGCGAGUUAAUCUCUGUGGCAAGCUUAAGCGGUACCCCCGUGGAGGCGAAGCGAAAGCGAGUCUUAAAUGGGCGUUGAGUCGCAGGGAUUAGACGCGAAACCUUAGUGAUCUACCCAUGGCCAGGUUGAAGGGAAGGUAAGACUUCCUGGAGGACCGAACCCGUUAACGUUGAAAAGUUAUGGGAUGAGCUGUGGGGAGGAGUAAAAGUCUAAUCAAACUGGGAGAUAUCUCGUUCUCCUCGAAAUAGUUUUUGGGCUAGCCUUGAGUUACAGCUUUCAGGGGUAGAGCCACUGGAUGGGACUGGGGGCCUAACCCGCUACCCACCCCAACCAAACUCCGAAUACUGAAAGUCUUUGUCUCAGGAGUCAGACCGCGGGGGAUAAUCUUCGUGGUCAAAAGGGAAACAACCCAGACCGCCAGCUAAGGUCCCUAAGCCUGUCUUAGUUCUAAAGGAAGUUAGGAUGCAGUGACAGCCAGGAUGUUGGCUUAGAAGCAGCCACCAUUUAAAGAGUGCGUAACAGCUCACUGGUCGAGGAUCCUAGCGCCGAUAAUGAUCGGGAAUAAGACUGGCACCGAAGCUGCGGACUUGUGCUUGCACAAGUGGUAGAGGAGCGUUCCUGUCAGCGUUGAAGCGAAACGGACAACGUUUCGUCGAGCGGCAGGAAGUGAUUAUGCCGGCUUGAGUAACGAUAAAGCAGGUGAAAAUCCUGCUCGCCGAAAGCCUAAGGUUUCCUGGGCAAGGUAAAUCCGCCCAGGGUUAGUCGGACCCUAAGGCGAGGCCGAAAGGCGUAGUCGAUGGACAGCAGGUUAAUAUUCCUGCACUCCGUUGUGAGGUUGAAGCGGCGUGACGGAUACCCGGGUGUGAGUCGGCCGACCAGACGUGGCCGUCCCGCAAGGGCGAGGGCUUUAGAUCCCGAAGCUCACGAAGGGUGUCCCAAGAAAUAGCGUCCGUGGACGAUCAACGGAUCCGUACUAAAACUGACACAGGUAGGCGUGGUGAAUAACCUCAGGCGCUCGAGAGAAUGGUAGUUAAGGAACUAGGCAAAUUGACCCCGUACGUUCGCAAUAAGGGGGCCCUAACCCUUCGGGGAAGGGCGCAGAGAAAAGGCUCUGACAACUGUUUAUCAAAAACACAGGACUGUGCGAACUCGUAAGAGGAUGUAUACAGUCUGACGCCUGCUCGAUGCCGGAAUGUUAAGGAAGCAGGUUAGCUUGAUUUAUCAGGCGAAGCUUGCGACUCAAGCACCGGUCAAUGGCGGCCGUAACUAUGACGGUCCUAAGGUAGCGAAGUUCCUUGUCGGGUAAGUUCCGACGCGCAUGAAUGGCGUAAUGAUUGGAGCACUGUCUCAACUACCAACUCGGUGAAAUAGAAGACGCGGUGAAGAUACCGCGUACCCGCGGCAAGACGGAAAGACCCCGUGGACCUUUACUAUAGGCUGAUAUUGGCCAAGGAUACGUUCUGCGUAGGAUAGGUGGGAGGCUUUGAAACCCGGGUUCCGGCUCGGGUGGAGCCGUCCUUGAAAUACCACCCUGAUCGUGUUUUUGACCUAACCUCGUCCCGUGAAUCCGGGCGAGGGACCAUGUUAGCUGGGUAGUUUAACUGGGGCGGUUUCCUCCUAAAGAGUAACGGAGGAGCGCAAAGGUCGGCUCAGCACGUUUGGAAACCGUGUGUCGAGUGCAAGAGCACAAGCCGGCUUUACUGCGAGACAGACAAGUCGAGCAGUCACGAAAGUGGGCUCUAGUGAUCCUGUGAUCCCGUGUGGAAGGGUCAUAGCUCAACGGAUAAAAGGUACCCCGGGGAUAACAGGCUGAUCGCAUCCGAGCGUCCAUAGCGGCGAUGCGGUUUGGCACCUCGAUGUCGGCUCGUCACAUCCUGGGGCUGAAGGCGGUCCCAAGGGUUGGGCUGUUCGCCCAUUAAAGUGGCACGCGAGCUGGGUUCAGACCGGCGUGAGCCAGGUCGGUCCCUAUCUGCCGUGGGCGCAGCAACUUUGAGAGGAUUCUUCCUUAGUACGAGAGGAUUAGGAAGGACGUACCCCUGGUGCGCCAGUUGGACCGCUAGGUCCACCGCUGGGUAGCUAAGUACGGCAGGGAUAACCGCUGAAAGCAUCUAAGCGGGAAGCCCCCCUCGAGAUGAGAGUUGCAGGCACUUCGGUGCGAGAGACCCCUGGAAGACGACCAGGUUGAUAGGCCGCAGGUGUAAGGGCAGAGAUGUCCUCAGCUGAGCGGUACUAACGGUCAAUCGCUUUAUCAC